This 2351-nucleotide ribosomal RNA is filed under the name Clostridioides difficile. RNAcentral describes it as "partial 23S ribosomal RNA". It matches the Rfam family "Bacterial large subunit ribosomal RNA", at positions 332 to 2703 of the family's 2925-position model. Lineage: Bacteria; Bacillati; Bacillota; Clostridia; Peptostreptococcales; Peptostreptococcaceae. The record is from RNAcentral.
UUGAAGAGGUUUGGAAAGACCUACCACAGAAGGUAAUAGUCCUGUAUGUUAAACGAGAAGACUUUAGAUAUGAUCCAGAGUACCACGGGACACGUGAAACCCUGUGGGAAGCAGGAGGGACCACCCUCCAAGGCUAAAUACUACCUAGUGACCGAUAGCGUAUAGUACCGUGAGGGAAAGGUGAAAAGAACCCCGGGAGGGGAGUGAAAUAGAACCUGAAACCCUGCACUUACAAGCUGUGGAAGCACAUUUCUUGUGUGACCGCGUACUUUUUGUAGAACGGGCCAACGAGUUACGUUAAGUAGCAAGGUUAAGCACUUAAGGUGUGGAGCCGUAGCGAAAGCGAGUUUUAACUGAGCGUUCAGUUACUUGACGUAGACCCGAAACCGGGCGACCUACCCAUGAGCAGGAUGAAGCGAAAGUAAAAUUUCGUGGAGGUCCGAACCCACGAGCGUUGAAAAGCUCGGGGAUGACUUGUGGGUAGCGGUGAAAUUCCAAUCGAGCCCGGAGAUAGCUGGUUCUCCCCGAAAUAGCUUUAGGGCUAGCCUCAAGGUGAGAGAUACGGAGGUAGAGCACUGAAUGUCCUAGGGGGUAUUGCACCUACCGAAGACUAUCAAACUCCGAAUGCCGUCAUCUUAUACUUGGGAGUCAGACUGUGGGUGAUAAGAUUCAUAGUCGAAAGGGCAACAGCCCAGAUCGUCAGCUAAGGUCCCUAAAUGUAAGUUAAGUGGUAAAGGAUGUGGGAUUGCACAGACAACCAGGAUGUUGGCUUAGAAGCAGCCACUCAUUCAAAGAGUGCGUAAUAGCUCACUGGUCGAGUGAUCCUGCGCCGAAGAUUUCCGGGGCUAAAACUUACUACCGAAGCUACGGCAUCAGUAAUGAUGGGUAGGGGAGCUUCCCAUACGGGUUGAAGCAUGACCGUAAGGACAUGUGGACAGUAUGGGAGUGAGAAUGUUGGCAUGAGUAGCGAGAUGUGGGUGAGAAUCCCACAGGCCGUAAACCCAAGGUUUCCAGGGGAAGGUUCGUCCGCCCUGGGUUAGUCGGGACCUAAGCUGAGGCCGAAAGGCGUAGGUGAUGGACAACAGGUUGAUAUUCCUGUACUACCGAUAACCGUUUGAGAGAAGGGAUGACACAGUAGGAUAAGCUAAGCACACUGUUGGUUAUGUGUGCCCAAGCAUUGAGGCAGUCAAAGUAGGCAAAUCCGCUUUGAUAAUGCUGGGAUGUGAUGGGGAGCGAAAUUUAGUAGCGAAGUAGCUGAUUUCACACUGUCAAGAAAAGUCUCUAUCGAGGUUAAAGGUACCCGUACCGCAAACCGACACAGGUGGGUGAGGAGAGUAUCCUAAGGCCAGCGAGAGAACUGUUGUUAAGGAACUCGGCAAAAUGACCCCGUAACUUAGGGAUAAGGGGUGCCACCAUUAGGUGGCCGCAGAGAAUAGGCCCAAGCGACUGUUUACCAAAAACAUAGGUUUCUGCUAAGUCGCAAGACGAUGUAUAGGAGCUGACGCCUGCCCGGUGCUGGAAGGUUAAGGGGAUCUGUUAGAGUAAUCGAAGCAGUGAACUUAAGCCCCAGUAAACGGCGGCCGUAACUAUAACGGUCCUAAGGUAGCGAAAUUCCUUGUCGGGUAAGUUCCGACCCGCACGAAAGGCGUAACGAUUUGGGCACUGUCUCAACAACAGACUCGGUGAAAUUGUAAUUCCGGUGAAGAUGCCGGAUACCUGCGACAGGACGGAAAGACCCCAUGGAGCUUUACUGUAGCUUGACAUUGGGUCUUGGUACUACAUGUACAGGAUAGGUGGGAGGCUUUGAAACCAGGACGCCAGUUUUGGCGGAGCCAUCCUUGGGAUACCACCCUUGUAGUACUGGGACUCUAACCAUAGGCCAUGAAUCUGGUCUUGGGACACUGUCAGGUGGGCAGUUUGACUGGGGCGGUCGCCUCCCAAAAGGUAACGGAGGCGCUCAAAGGUUCUCUCAGUACGGUCGGAAAUCGUACGUAGAGUGUAAAGGCAAAAGAGAGCUUGAUUGCAAGACAUACAGGUCGAGCAAGGAUGAAAAUCGGACUUAGUGAUCCGGUGGUUCUGCGUGGAAGGGCCAUCGCUCAACGGAUAAAAGCUACCCUGGGGAUAACAGGCUUAUCUCCCCCAAGAGUCCACAUCGACGGGGAGGUUUGGCACCUCGAUGUCGGCUCAUCACAUCCUGGGGCUGUAGUAGGUCCCAAGGGUUGGGCUGUUCGCCCAUUAAAGUGGUACGCGAGCUGGGUUCAGAACGUCGUGAGACAGUUCGGUCCCUAUCCGUCGCAGGCGUAGGAAAUUUGAGAAGACCUGUCCUUAGUACGAGAGGACCGGGAUGGACG